This 559-nucleotide ribosomal RNA is filed under the name Escherichia coli. RNAcentral's name for it is "partial 23S ribosomal RNA". It matches the Rfam family "Bacterial large subunit ribosomal RNA", at positions 296 to 867 of the family's 2925-position model. Lineage: Bacteria; Pseudomonadati; Pseudomonadota; Gammaproteobacteria; Enterobacterales; Enterobacteriaceae. The record is from RNAcentral.
GCCCAGAGCCUGAAUCAGUGUGUGUGUUAGUGGAAGCGUCUGGAAAGGCGCGCGAUACAGGGUGACAGCCCCGUACACAAAAAUGCACAUGCUGUGAGCUCGAUGAGUAGGGCGGGACACGUGGUAUCCUGUCUGAAUAUGGGGGGACCAUCCUCCAAGGCUAAAUACUCCUGACUGACCGAUAGUGAACCAGUACCGUGAGGGAAAGGCGAAAAGAACCCCGGCGAGGGGAGUGAAAAAGAACCUGAAACCGUGUACGUACAAGCAGUGGGAGCACGCUUAGGCGUGUGACUGCGUACCUUUUGUAUAAUGGGUCAGCGACUUAUAUUCUGUAGCAAGGUUAACCGAAUAGGGGAGCCGAAGGGAAACCGAGUCUUAACUGGGCGUUAAGUUGCAGGGUAUAGACCCGAAACCCGGUGAUCUAGCCAUGGGCAGGUUGAAGGUUGGGUAACACUAACUGGAGGACCGAACCGACUAAUGUUGAAAAAUUAGCGGAUGACUUGUGGCUGGGGGUGAAAGGCCAAUCAAACCGGGAGAUAGCUGGUUCUCCCCGAAAGCU